Lagenorhynchus albirostris (white-beaked dolphin) is the source of this 1494-nucleotide long non-coding RNA. RefSeq lists it as uncharacterized. The record is from RefSeq and is a predicted model, not a curated record. NCBI's taxonomy places the organism in Eukaryota, Metazoa, Chordata, Mammalia, Artiodactyla, Delphinidae. The transcript has 2 exons.
GGCCUCUCACUGUUGUGGCCUCUCCCAUUGUGGAGCACAGGCUCUGGACGCGCAGGCUCAGAGGCCAUGGCUCACGGGCCCAGCCGCUCUGCGGCAUGUGGGAUCCUCCCAGACCGGGGCACGAACCCGUGUCCCCUGCAUUGGCAGGCGGACUGUCAACCACUGCGCCACCAGGGAAGCCCCAAAGCUACACUUUUUGAGACCAAGCAACUGAAAUCUUGAGCCCAAAUAAGAGGAGAACGUAUUGGACUUGGGUUUUGAAGAUGGGAAUUCAGAUCCUGGUUUUGUCACUUAAGAGCUACGUGACCUUGACUACAUCUCUGGAUCUCAGAAAAAUGGUGAUAUCUGUCUUACCUACCGUAAAGUAAAAUAUAAUGAUAUAAUGAUAUCUGUCUUACCUACCGUAAAGUGCUCUUGUGAGGAUCAAAUCAAAUGGAUGUGAACUUGAUUUGCAAACUGUAAUUACACAUAUAAGGUAUUGUUAUUCUCAGUUAACCAGAAGUGGCACAGACGUGAAACCUCACGUUAACUAAAUAUGGCUAAUAAUUCUGAAGAAUGCUAAAUUCUAAGUGUUCUUACUUUUAUCUCCACUUGAAUGAUGAAGAAACGAAGGCAUAGAGAAUAGAAGUGAUUUGGUCAAGGUCAGAGUGCUAGCUAUGGCAUAAUGAAGAAUGAUACUUAAUUAAAUUGAUUUUUGGCCUAAGAUAGAAGUCACACCCUUCUCUCCAAACAUAUAACAAGUACAAGUAUUAAUUAUGGUGACAGCCACAUCCACUGCCUCUUCCCCACUUGCCCAGCUGACAGCCCACUCUGUAAAGGACUGACUAGCUCUUCUCUCUGUACUGGAGGCUGCUGACUGGGGAUGCCUACAGGGGUGCUUUAAUUAACUAAAUAUUCUUGAGAGCCUCCUUCUGUGGCUUGGAUGUGAAGGUAAGGAGAGGAUGGGUCUUUGAGCCCAAGAAGAGAGUGGAACAGACCCAAGGAAGUGUGGGGGAGAGACCAUGAGAGGGAAAGGUGAAGAGAGUCCCCCAUCACCAGAGCUGCCUUAGAUCCUGAGGGUUUUCCGGUCUAGUUCCUGUCCCACUGGGUAUCCUUUAAACAAACACCUUAUAUUUAUAAUGCUCUGCACAAACCUCUCUUUCUUAUAGCCAAGAAAGUCCAACAUGAUGGAUGCUGGGCACCUCUCAACUGGACUUCUCAGCUUCCUUAUUGGUGUUCCUGCCUCUCAUCUUUGCCUCCAUCUACCCCAUUUUACAUGCAUUAAUCUUACAGAUUGAUAUCCAAGACAUUGCAGGCUAGUACUGGUUAUAAUUAUACUAUGCAUCUCCACACACUGCAUUGUGCACCUACAAUUUAUAGUUCCCUCCUCUCCUUUAUCACCAGUUAUCCAACUUCUACUUAUAUUCAAGGCUAUUCAGAUGGCAGGACUCGCAUGAAACCCCCUUUUGAUGUGCCAAACCAAAAUUGAAAGAUCGUCUCUCUCCUCUUCCUCAA